GGCAAAGUCUCCUGCUAAGAUGAGGGACUGCUUCAUCCCCCCAGGUUCCCCCCUCUCCCACGAAGGAUAAAUCAGAGCUACCUUGGUUAAAGGUGAUGGUUUUCCCCAUAAUGAAGAGGGAUUUUGAGAUGGUAUUGGGAAAUCAAGGCAGUUUUGCAGCUGCUCAGGUCCUUCCAAUGCGCAUUACUGCGAUGGAGCAUAGUGAAAUGUCAUAUUGGCAGGAUCAUCCAG
This 231-nucleotide long non-coding RNA is filed under the name Numida meleagris (helmeted guineafowl). RNAcentral's name for it is "lncRNA (ENSNMEG00000019286.1)". Lineage: Eukaryota; Metazoa; Chordata; Aves; Galliformes; Numididae. The record is from RNAcentral.